Molecule: ribosomal RNA, 490 nt
Filed under: uncultured bacterium
Lineage: Bacteria
Description: partial 16S ribosomal RNA
Rfam family: Bacterial small subunit ribosomal RNA
Source: RNAcentral
AUUGAACGCUGGCGGCAGGCCUAACACAUGCCAGUCGAACGGUAACAGGAAGAAGCUUGCUUCUUUGCUGACGAGUGUCGGACGGGUGAGUAAUGUCUGGGAAACUGCCUGAUGGAGGGGGAUAACUCCUGGAAACGGUAGCUAAUACCGCAUAACGUCCCAAGACCAAAGAGGGGGACCUUCUGGCCUCUUGCCAUCGGAUGUGCCCAGAUGGGAUUAGCUAGUAGGUGGGGUAACGGCUCACCUAGGCGACGAUCCCUAGCUGGUCUGAGAGGAUGACCAGCCACACUGGAACUGAGACACGGUCCAGACUCCUACGGGAGGCAGCAGUGGGGAAUAUUGCACAAUGGGCGCAAGCCUGAUGCAGCCAUGCCGCGUGUAUGAAGAAGGCCUUCGGGUUGUAAAGUACUUUCAGCGGGGAGGAAGGGAGUAAAGUUAAUACCUUUGCUCAUUGACGUUACCCGAAGAAGAAGCACCGGCUAACUUCGUG